GACGAACGCUGGCGGCGUGCUUAACACAUGCAAGUCGAACGGUAAGGCCCUUCGGGGUACACGAUUGGCGAACGGGUGAGUAACGCGUGAGUAACCUGCCCUUCACUCUGGGUUAACAGGUGGAAACGGCUGCUAAUACCGGGUAUUCAGCUCCUGUCGCAUGGUGGGGGUUGGAAAGGUUUGGUGGUGGAGGAUGGGCUCGCGGCCUAUCAGCUUGUUGGUGGGGUGAUGGCCUACCAAGGCCUCGACGGGUAGCCGGCCUGAGAGGGCGACCGGCCACAUUGGGACUGAGAUACGGCCCAGACGCCUACGGGAGGCAGCAGUGGGGAAUAUUGCACAAUGGGCGGAAGCCUGAUGCAGCAACGCCGCGUGCGGGAUGACGGCCUUCGGGUUGUAAACCGCUUUCAGCAGGGACGAAGCGCAAGUGACGGUACCUGCAGAAGAAGCACCGGCUAACUACGUG
RNAcentral lists this ribosomal RNA (463 nucleotides) under uncultured bacterium. RNAcentral describes it as "partial 16S ribosomal RNA". It matches the Rfam family "Bacterial small subunit ribosomal RNA", at positions 28 to 507 of the family's 1533-position model. The record is from RNAcentral.